GACUAUGCAAAAUAAGCUGUAAAAUAUUAAAUAUAUUAAAAGAUAAAUCAAACCUCAAAUUGAAUUUUCCCUCUGAGUUGCUACAUGUAUAUUUGUAAAAAAACAAAUGUGCCUCAAAUCGAAAUUUAACAUUUGUGUUGUCUGAAUGGCGACUUUAAAGACAAUGCACAUGUAGUGAAGUCACUCUCUCUCUCUGCAUGUGAAUCCAUUGUAAUAACUGUGACAUGUUGCAGACACCAUUUCGAUUACAGAAACUUAAUCAGUUUAACCCGAAUCAAAUCCGCUAGAAUGCAAAAUUAACAAUAAAACUGUAGAACAAUAAACUCACAAAAUAAAUCGGGCUAAUGUUUAACAUGCUAAAACUAUUCACCACAUACUCCAGUUUGGUACAACUUCUUGAAAUUUUACGUUUUUCGAAAUUGUAUGAAUAAAAGAAAAUGAAAGGUAAACGUCAAUGAGACAUCAACCCAACGAACAAAUAACUAAACGACAUAAAGAGGACAACACACUGUCUUAAGCAAUAUCCGUGUGUGCUAAACUUUAAAUCGUCCAGAGUCUUUUCAAAUUUGUAAAAAGAAUU
Molecule: long non-coding RNA, 580 nt
Filed under: Mytilus galloprovincialis (Mediterranean mussel)
Lineage: Eukaryota; Metazoa; Mollusca; Bivalvia; Mytilida; Mytilidae
Source: RNAcentral